CUCACUUCCUUUUGUUUGCCCAGGACCCUAUCCGUGGCUCCACAAAGUCACAGGACCUCCUGGUCAGCCUCCUCCUAGCCCUGGAUAAAAUGGCCAUUUAUAAAACCAGAGAGAGGAGG
Gopherus evgoodei (Goodes thornscrub tortoise) is the source of this 119-nucleotide long non-coding RNA. RefSeq lists it as uncharacterized. NCBI's taxonomy places the organism in Eukaryota, Metazoa, Chordata, Testudines, Testudinidae. The record is from RefSeq and is a predicted model, not a curated record. The transcript is spliced from 3 exons.